Neocloeon triangulifer is the source of this 1322-nucleotide long non-coding RNA. RefSeq lists it as uncharacterized. NCBI's taxonomy places the organism in Eukaryota, Metazoa, Arthropoda, Insecta, Ephemeroptera, Baetidae. The transcript has 2 exons. The record is from RefSeq and is a predicted model, not a curated record.
GAGACCGAACUAUAGAGUGCGGCCGCCCCUCCCUUCGCCUCUCUUUCCACUCUUUCCAGCACUGCUCUCUUUCUCCUCACUUACAAUUAGGCCGGUUAAAUGAACUAUUGCCUGCUUACACCGCGCCACUCCGUUCCGUGACUCGCUCCAGGUUGCACCUAUAACCUGCCUGAUCUCCACACUCACACCUCUCGCUGUCCUGUCCAACUUCUCUCUCAUCACCAUGGACAUCCUCACUCUGGACCCCACCGGCCUUUACUGAAGACCUCCGUCCGACCUUCAGCAAUCCUCCUCCGACCGAGAGAGAAAAAAACUGAAUUAAAUUUUAAUCCGCGAGAAAGACAGAAAGAAACGAGAGCAAGAUGCAAAUGCUGAUCCUGGACCCGACGGGCCUUUACUAGGGAGCCGGCCCGACCCUGACCGCGCGAGAUGCGGCAGCGACACCUCAGACUCUGCAAAAAGGUCAAGACGAGAUGGAAGUCCAACACAAAGGCGCGGCUCGCCCUUGCUGUGAUAGCCAGCGGACGCACGGACCACUCGCACCCUGUGCCAUCCCCUCAUCUACACCUUCUAUCUAACAGAUAUCAGUGCGAAAAGGACAUUGUUCUGAUGACUGCAUAGCAAAGUCGACGCGCCUACAUUGCCACAAAAUUCCUUGUUCACGCCGCGAUCAAAAUUUCGGAGAAGACACCAGCGUCCAUUCCUCUCAAAAUAAAAAUCAAUUUUUACGGUCAAAUUUGAGAAGAACCAAUCCAACUUUAAUAGCUAUUAAAAUAAAAAGAGUUAAUUUAUGAGACAGAUUUAAGAUUUAUAUAUCAUGAGCUUCUUCCGAAAGAGGAAAUUCGUAUGUUAGUAAGUUACCAACUGUUGCAAAAAUCUGAUGUAAACAAAAAAAAAUUAUAUGUACGCCACUCCAAUCAGAGACAUGUAUUAAAAAAGAAAUGAAUUACAAAAUCAUUUCAGGGUAGAGUUCACUUAUUGUAUGUAAUAAAAAUUCAAUGUAUGACAGGAUGAUAGCUGAAAAGCAGAACUUUUCCAACGGGGACAAACAGAAAAUCGCAAUCUUCAUUACGAAAAUGGAAUGUUUUGUGUCAAAUUCAAAUUUUGAGUUACAAAUUAAUUUAUUUAGAAUGAGUAAAACGAGCACCAUGUCUGGUUAUUGUCGAUCAAAAUCACACAAAAAUAAUUUCUGUAUAUUUUGGCAUAAUAACUCCUGGUUCCAAUUUUACUCUGACAAAAAUUGUAAUUGUAAGAUGAAAGGCCGUAGAAUUAAAUUGAACAGACCUUAAUUUAUUUUUUAAUAAAAUAGAAAUACACCGCAA